Molecule: ribosomal RNA, 486 nt
Filed under: uncultured bacterium
Lineage: Bacteria
Description: partial 16S ribosomal RNA
Rfam family: Bacterial small subunit ribosomal RNA
Source: RNAcentral
AGUGAACGCUGGCGGCAUGCCUAACACAUGCCAGUCGAACGGCAGCACGGUAGGUGGCUGCUGGUGGGGGUUGGGGGACGGGGGAGGGAGAGAUAUGCACAGGACCUGACGUUUUGGUGGGGGCGAAGGAAGGGGGAUUAAUGCCGCUAACGCACUAGAGCUACAGGUGGAGGCACGGGGUGUUUGGAGCUUGCGGGUUGGACGGUGGCGGAUUAGCUAGUUGGAGGGGGAAAGGCAUAACAAGGCCACGGUCAGUAGCUGGUCUGAGAGGAUGAUCAGCCACACUGGAACUGAGACACGGUCCAGACUCCUACGGGAGGCAGCAGUGGGGAAUAUUGGACAAUGGGCGAAAGCCUGAUCCAGCCAUACCGCGUGUGUGAAGAAGGCCUUCGGGUUGUAAAGCCCUUUUGUUGGGAAAGAAAAGCAGCGGCUUAAUACCCCGCUGUUCUGACGGUACCCAAAGAAUAAGCACCGGCUAACUUCGUG